This 170-nucleotide ribosomal RNA is filed under the name Clavaria acuta. RNAcentral describes it as "partial large subunit ribosomal RNA". It matches the Rfam family "Eukaryotic large subunit ribosomal RNA", at positions 99 to 261 of the family's 3401-position model. The record is from RNAcentral. Lineage: Eukaryota; Fungi; Basidiomycota; Agaricomycetes; Agaricales; Clavariaceae.
AGGGAAAAGCUCAAAUUUAAAAUCUGGCAGUCUUAGGCUGUCCGAGUUGUAAAUUAGAGAAGCGUUAUCCGCGCUGGCCUGUGCAUAAGUCUCUUGGAAAAGGGCAUCAUAGAGGGUGACAAUCCCGUCUUUGGCACGGACUACCAGUGCUUUUGUGAUGCGCUCUCGAU